GUCCAGUUGCCAAUCGCUGGAAUCCCUCCAGUGGCGUGAGAACCAAUCUGCGACGAGAUUGUCGGAGCCCGGGAGAUAUUCCGCACGAAGGGAGAUAUUCCUGUCCAGGCAGAAUUGGUACAAUUCCUUCGUCAGAUCUGAUAGCAUCUUUGAUCGCGAGCCACCUAGGCGGUUCACAUAUUGUACUGCUGAGACGUUGUCCAUCCUCAGGAUGAGGCUGCAGUUG
This is a non-coding RNA of Pelobates cultripes (western spadefoot toad), 226 nucleotides long. The record is from the annotation of a GenBank genome assembly. Lineage: Eukaryota; Metazoa; Chordata; Amphibia; Anura; Pelobatidae.